RNAcentral lists this ribosomal RNA (253 nucleotides) under uncultured bacterium. Its description in RNAcentral is "partial 16S ribosomal RNA". It matches the Rfam family "Bacterial small subunit ribosomal RNA", at positions 524 to 776 of the family's 1533-position model. The record is from RNAcentral.
UACGAAGGGGGCUAGCGUUGUUCGGAAUUACUGGGCGUAAAGCGCGCGUAGGCGGUCAUCUAAGUCAGGGGUGAAAUGCCAGGGCUCAACCUUGGAAUUGCCUUUGAUACUGGAUGUCUGGAGUUCGGGAGAGGUGAGUGGAAUUCCGAGUGUAGAGGUGAAAUUCGUAGAUAUUCGGAGGAACACCCGUGGCGAAAGCGGCUCUCUGGGACGGUACUGACGCUGAGACGCGAAAGCGUGGGGAGCGAACAGG